AGGAUGAACGCUGGCGGCGUGCCUAAUACAUGCAAGUCGAGCGAACAGAUGAGAAGCUUGCUUCUCUGAUGUUAGCGGCGGACGGGUGAGUAACACGUGGGUAACCUACCUAUAAGACUGGGAUAACUCCGGGAAACCGGGGCUAAUACCAGAUAAUACAUUGAACCGCAUGGUUCAAUGUUGAAAGACGGUUUCGGCUGUCACUUAUAGAUGGACCCGCGCCGUAUUAGCUAGUUGGUAAGGUAACGGCUUACCAAGGCAACGAUACGUAGCCGACCUGAGAGGGUGAUCGGCCACACUGGAACUGAGACACGGUCCAGACUCCUACGGGAGGCAGCAGUAGGGAAUCUUCCGCAAUGGGCGAAAGCCUGACGGAGCAACGCCGCGUGAGUGAUGAAGGUCUUAGGAUCGUAAAACUCUGUUGUUAGGGAAGAACAAAUUUGUUAGUAACUGAACAAGUCUUGACGGUACCUAACCAGAAAGCCACGGCUAACUACGUGCCAGCAGCCGCGGUAAUACGUAGGUGGCAAGCGUUAUCCGGAAUUAUUGGGCGUAAAGCGCGCGUAGGCGGUUUCUUAAGUCUGAUGUGAAAGCCCACGGCUCAACCGUGGAGGGUCAUUGGAAACUGGGGAACUUGAGUGCAGAAGAGGAGAGUGGAAUUCCAUGUGUAGCGGUGAAAUGCGCAGAGAUAUGGAGGAACACCAGUGGCGAAGGCGGCUCUCUGGUCUGUAACUGACGCUGAUGUGCGAAAGCGUGGGGAUCAAACAGAAGUAGAUACCCUGGUAGUCCACGCCGUAAACGAUGAGUGCUAAGUGUUAGGGGGUUUCCGCCCCUUAGUGCUGCAGCUAACGCAUUAAGCACUCCGCCCUGGGGAGUACGACCGCAAGGUUGAAACUCAAAGGAAUUGACGGGGACCCGCACAAGCGGUGGAGCAUGUGGUUUAAUUCGAAGCAACGCGAAGAACCUUACCAAAUCUUGACAUCCUUUGACCGCUCUAGAGAUAGAGUCUUCCCCUUCGGGGGACAAAGUGACAGGUGGUGCAUGGUUGUCGUCAGCUCGUGUCGUGAGAUGUUGGGUUAAGUCCCGCAACGAGCGCAACCCUUAAGCUUAGUUGCCAUCAUUAAGUUGGGCACUCUAGGUUGACUGCCGGUGACAAACCGGAGGAAGGUGGGGAUGACGUCAAAUCAUCAUGCCCCUUAUGAUUUGGGCUACACACGUGCUACAAUGGAUAAUACAAAGGGCAGCGAACCCGCGAGGUCAAGCAAAUCCCAUAAAAUUAUUCUCAGUUCGGAUUGUAGUCUGCAACUCGACUACAUGAAGCUGGAAUCGCUAGUAAUCGUAGAUCAGCAUGCUACGGUGAAUACGUUCCCGGGUCUUGUACACACCGCCCGUCACACCACGAGAGUUUGUAACACCCGAAGCCGGUGGAGUAACCUUUUAUUAGGAGCUAGCCGUCGAAGGUGGGAC
Molecule: ribosomal RNA, 1467 nt
Filed under: uncultured bacterium
Lineage: Bacteria
Description: 16S ribosomal RNA
Rfam family: Bacterial small subunit ribosomal RNA
Source: RNAcentral